UGGGAACGUGCCCUUUGGUUCGGAACAACUCCGGGAAACUGGAGCUAAUACCGGAUAAGCCCUUCGGGGGAAAGAUUUAUCGCCGAGAGAUCGGCCCGCGUCUGAUUAGCUAGUUGGUGAGGUAACGGCUCACCAAGGCGACGAUCAGUAGCUGGUCUGAGAGGAUGAUCAGCCACAUUGGGACUGAGACACGGCCCAAACUCCUACGGGAGCAG
RNAcentral lists this ribosomal RNA (215 nucleotides) under uncultured bacterium. RNAcentral describes it as "partial 16S ribosomal RNA". It matches the Rfam family "Bacterial small subunit ribosomal RNA", at positions 118 to 347 of the family's 1533-position model. The record is from RNAcentral.